ACUUGUCUAGCUCAGUUGGUAAAAUACAAGGCUCUUAACCUUGUGGUUGUGAGUUCGAGCCCCAUGGUGGGCA
This 73-nucleotide transfer RNA is filed under the name Zea mays. It matches the Rfam family "tRNA". From Rfam's summary of the family: Transfer RNA (tRNA) molecules are approximately 80 nucleotides in length. Their secondary structure includes four short double-helical elements and three loops (D, anti-codon, and T loops). The record is from Rfam by way of RNAcentral. Lineage: Eukaryota; Viridiplantae; Streptophyta; Magnoliopsida; Poales; Poaceae.